Non-coding RNA from Xylariales sp. PMI_506, 89 nucleotides. Lineage: Eukaryota; Fungi; Ascomycota; Sordariomycetes; Xylariales. The record is from the annotation of a GenBank genome assembly.
AGUUGCGUGUUCUAAUGGUUAUGAUUUCUCGUUCACAGCGAUGUGUACUAUCUCCGAGAAGGUUCUGGGUUCGAUCCCCAGCGCGACUA